This 1491-nucleotide ribosomal RNA is filed under the name marine metagenome. Its description in RNAcentral is "bacterial LSU rRNA". It matches the Rfam family "Bacterial large subunit ribosomal RNA", at positions 1456 to 2925 of the family's 2925-position model. The record is from RNAcentral.
CUAAGGCCAAGGGGGGACACGGAAAGCUAGGCGGAGCGUGCCUAUUGGACAUGGUGCGUCCGAGCCUGUAGGCCAUCCCGGGAUAGGCAAAUCCGUCCUGGGGCUACGAGCUGAGGGGCAAGGCGACUUCAGGGUUCGCCCUGGGGAAGUCCGUUGAGGCUACGCCGGCAAGAAAAGCCUCGUGGCUAGAGACAGGGGUGUCCGUACCGCAAACCGACACAGGUGGGCUGGAGUUGUUGCUCUAAGGCGGACGAGAGAACCUUCCUUAAGGAACUCGGCAAUCUAACUCCGUAACUUCGGGAGAAGGAGUGCCCUGGGGGGUGUAGUCCCUCGCGGACGAAGCUCCUCGGGGUCGCAGCGAAGCGGCCCUGGCGACUGUAUAUCUCAAACACAGGUCUCUGCUCAAGCCGAAAGGCGAGGUAUAGAGGCUGACGCCUGCCCAGUGCCGGAAGGUUAAGGGGAGGGGUGCAAGCUCCGAACCGAAGCCCCGGUGAACGGCGGCCGUAACUAUAACGGUCCUAAGGUACCGAAAUCCCUUGUCGGGUAAGUUCCGACCCGCAGGAAAGGCGUAACGACUGGGGCGCUGUCUCAAGGAAGGACUCGGUGAAAUUGAAGGACGAGUGAAGAUGCUCGUUACCCGCAGCAGGACAAAAAGACCCCGUGGAGCUUUACUGCACCUUGGCAUUGAUCUGAAGACAGUGAUGUGUAGGAUAGGUGGAAGACAUUGAAGUGCUGGCGCUAGUUGGCAUGGAGUCACCCUUGAAAUACCACUCUUCGCUGUUUUUGGCUCUAACCCCUGACAAGCAGGGGAACCGUGCCUGGCAGGCAGUUUGACUGGGGCGGUCGCCUCCUAAAAGGUAACGGAGGCGUCCAAAGGUCCCCUCAGGGUGGAUGGAAAUCACCCGUGGAGCGCAUUGGCAUAAGGGGGCUUGACUGUAAGGCCUACAAGCCGAGCAGGGACGAAAGUCGGGCAAAGUGAUCCUACGGUCCCGUGUGGAAGGGCCGUGGCUUAUCGGAUAAAAGCUACCCCGGGGAUAACAGGCUUAUCUCGCCCAAGAGUUCAUAUCGACGGCGAGGUUUGGCACCUCGAUGUCGGCUCGUCGCGUCCUGGGGCUGAAGGCGGUCCCAAGGGUCCGGCUGUUCGCCGGUUAAAGGGGUACGUGAGUUGGGUUCAGAACGUCGUGAGACAGUUCGGUCUCUAUCCGCCGUGGGCGCAGGAAGCUUGAGGGAACCUUUCCCUAGUACGAGAGGACCGGGAAGGACAGACCUAUGGUGUGCCAGUUGUUCCGCCAGGAGCAGCGCUGGGUAGCCAUGUCUGGCAGUGAUAAGCGCUGAAGGCAUCUAAGCGCGAAGCAUCCCCCAAGAUAAGGCUUCCCUUCCCUAUUAAGUUAGGGAGUAAGACUGCAGAGAGACUAUCUGCUUGAUAGGCCGGGAGUGUAAGGGUAGUAAUAUCUUCAGCUUACCGGUACUAACCAGUCGAGAGGCUUGACC